AGAUUGAACGCUGGCGGCAUGCCUAACACAUGCAAGUCGAACGGGAGUAGCAAUACUCUAGUGGCGGACGGGUGAGGAAUACGUAGGAAUUUGCCCUUAAGUGGGGGAUAACCCGGGGAAACCCGGAUUAAUACCGCAUGACCUCGAAAGAGCAAAGUGGGGGAUCGCAAGACCUCACGCUUUGGAGAGCCUACGUCGGAUUAGCUAGUUGGUGAGGUAAUGGCUCACCGAAGGCGACGAUCCGUAACUGGUCUGAGAGGAUGAUCAGUCACACGGAACUGAGACACGGUCCGGACUCCCGUACGGAGGCAGCAGG
Molecule: ribosomal RNA, 316 nt
Filed under: uncultured soil bacterium
Lineage: Bacteria
Description: bacterial SSU rRNA
Rfam family: Bacterial small subunit ribosomal RNA
Source: RNAcentral